Molecule: ribosomal RNA, 1379 nt
Filed under: Xenophrys periosa
Lineage: Eukaryota; Metazoa; Chordata; Amphibia; Anura; Megophryidae
Description: partial 16S ribosomal RNA
Rfam family: Bacterial large subunit ribosomal RNA
Source: RNAcentral
UGACGCCCCCAAUCUAGCCCAGGCCUCUUUAUUACAAAUCUUACCCCCCCCCCGCCCCAAAAUAAAUCAUUCUUAAUCUCAAGUAUAUGCGAUUGAAAAAGAACUAGGAGCUUUACAAAUAGUACCGCAAGGGAAAGAUGAAAUAGAAAUUAAACAAAUACUUCAAGCAUGAAACAGCAGAGAUUUCAACUCGUACCUUUUGCAUCAUGGUCUAACUAGUCUAACCAGGCAAAAAGAUUUUUAGUCUGGCCCCCCGAAACUAAGUGAGCUACUCCGAGGCAACCUUAGAGUAUACCCGUCUCUGUGGCAAAAGAGUGGGGUGACCUCCGAGUAGAGGUGAUAUACCUAUCGAACUUAGUGAUAGCUGGUUACUCAAGAAACGAAUUUUAGUUCUUUCUUAAGAGGACUUAGCUCAUUUAUAAUAACAAGCAAACCCAACCUCCUAAGACCUAUUCAAUAAGGGUACAGCCUUAUUGAAAAAGGACACAACCUAAAACCCAGGUUAACGUCUUUAAGACCAAGAACAAGUGGGCCUAAAAGCAGCCACCUUUAAAAUAGCGUCAAAGCUUUCUCUGCCGUCUUCUCCAAUUCUCAUCUCUUUACGGAACCCGGUACUAAUAUUGAGUCUUUCUAUACCCCCUAUAGAAGCGUUUAUGUUAGAACUAGUAACACAGAACUAUUUCUCUCUAUGUAAGUGUAAAUCAGAUCGAAUAAAUCGCUGAUAAUUAUUCAGUAUUGAAGCUAUUGUAACAACCCUGCUAGAAAACCCUACAACUUUACCCUGUUAACCUUACACAAGUACAUUAGAGAAAGAUUAAAAGAUAGGGAAGGAACUCGGCAAAUUUAAGUCUCGCCUGUUUACCAAAAACAUCGCCUCUUGCACUCUAUAUUAGGCAAUGCCUGCCCGGUGACCAUGUGUUCAACGGCCGCGGUAUUCUGACCGCGCGAAGGUAGCGUAAUCACUUGUCUUCUAAAUAAAGACUAGUAUGAACGGCUACACGAAGACUUGACUGUCUCCCCCGUCCAAUCAGUGAAACUGAUCCCCUUGUGCAGAAGCGAGGAUACACCCAUAAGACGAGAAGACCCUAUGGAGCUUAAAACUUAAUAUUAACUAUCCUUUAACCCCCUCUAAGGAGCCAACAAACAAUUUCUUAAACUUAAUAUUAGUUUUAGGUUGGGGCGACCAUGGAGAAAAAAAUAUCCUCCCUGAUGAUUUUCUAACUAAGAGCCACAGCUCUAAGUAUUAAGACACUUAACUCCCAUUGACCCAUUUUAUGAUCAACGAACCAAGUUACCCUAGGGAUAACAGCGCAAUCCAUUUCAAGAGUCCCUAUCGACAAAUGGGUUUACGACCUCGAUGUUGGAUCAGGGCAUCCUAG